GCGCGACCUCAGGUCAGGCGG
RNAcentral lists this ribosomal RNA (21 nucleotides) under Chapmannia prismatica. RNAcentral describes it as "partial large subunit ribosomal RNA". Lineage: Eukaryota; Viridiplantae; Streptophyta; Magnoliopsida; Fabales; Fabaceae. The record is from RNAcentral.